Zootermopsis nevadensis is the source of this 73-nucleotide non-coding RNA. The record is from Rfam. NCBI's taxonomy places the organism in Eukaryota, Metazoa, Arthropoda, Insecta, Blattodea, Termopsidae.
GCCACGGUGGUCUAGCGGUUAGAACGCUGGCCCUGUAAUCCUGGAGUCUCGGGUUCGAUUCCCGGCGGUGCCC